GUGCCAGCAGCCGCGGUAAUACAGAGACUGCAAGCGUUAUUCGGAUUCACUGGGCGUAAAGGGUGCGCAGGCGGCCGUGUGUGUCAGGUGUGAAAGCCCGGGGCUUAACCCCGGAAUUGCGCCUGAAACUACAUGGCUAGAGCAUUGGAGAGGGUAGCAGAAUUCACGGUGUAGCAGUGAAAUGCGUAGAUAUCGUGAGGAAUACCAGAGGCGAAGGCGGCUACCUGGACAAUUGCUGACGCUCAGGCACGAAAGCGUGGGGAGCAAAAGGGAUUAGAAACCCCCGUAGUCC
This 292-nucleotide ribosomal RNA is filed under the name uncultured bacterium. Its description in RNAcentral is "partial 16S ribosomal RNA". It matches the Rfam family "Bacterial small subunit ribosomal RNA", at positions 505 to 796 of the family's 1533-position model. The record is from RNAcentral.